CCCCUAGACGUUCUGGGCUGCACGCGCGCUACAAUAAUACGCACAGCGAGUAUCACCGAGCUCGAAAGGGCAAGGUAAACAAUAGAAAAGGUACUGUAAUGGUUAUAGAUCCUUGUAAUUAUUGAUCUUCAACGAGGAAUUCCUAGUAAGUAUGUGUCAUCAUCACGCACUGAUUACGUCCCUGCCCUUUGUACACACCGCCCGUCGCUCCUACCGAUUAAGUGAGCCGAUGAAACUGCCGGAUGUGGACUAUUCAUAGUCUGCAGAAGAUAUUUGAAUCGUAGCGCUUAGAGGAAGGAGAAGUCGUAACA
RNAcentral lists this ribosomal RNA (311 nucleotides) under uncultured eukaryote. RNAcentral's name for it is "partial 18S ribosomal RNA". It matches the Rfam family "Eukaryotic small subunit ribosomal RNA", at positions 1470 to 1796 of the family's 1831-position model. The record is from RNAcentral.